GCCUGGUUAGCUUAGUUGGUAGUGCGUCUGCCUUGUAAGCGCUAGGCCGUGGGUUCGAUUCCCGCCCGGCG
RNAcentral lists this transfer RNA (71 nucleotides) under Diaphorina citri (Asian citrus psyllid). It matches the Rfam family "tRNA". Rfam says of the family: Transfer RNA (tRNA) molecules are approximately 80 nucleotides in length. Their secondary structure includes four short double-helical elements and three loops (D, anti-codon, and T loops). The record is from Rfam by way of RNAcentral. Lineage: Eukaryota; Metazoa; Arthropoda; Insecta; Hemiptera; Psyllidae.